RNAcentral lists this transfer RNA (71 nucleotides) under Marmota monax (woodchuck). Its description in RNAcentral is "tRNA.Ala". The record is from RNAcentral. Lineage: Eukaryota; Metazoa; Chordata; Mammalia; Rodentia; Sciuridae.
GUGUGUGUGGCUCCGUGGUAGAGCCCUUUCCUAGCACAUGUGAGGCCCUGGGUUCCAUUCUCAGCAUCACA